Alligator sinensis (Chinese alligator) is the source of this 3698-nucleotide long non-coding RNA. RefSeq lists it as uncharacterized. NCBI's taxonomy places the organism in Eukaryota, Metazoa, Chordata, Crocodylia, Alligatoridae. The transcript has 2 exons. The record is from RefSeq and is a predicted model, not a curated record.
CUUGUUCUAAAAAAACUCCUUUAUACGAUCAUGUGAGUUGUAGUGGCUGUUUCAAAGUAUAUAAGCUGCCUGAUUUUGCUUUUGGAGAGAGAUCUCUUCCCAGUGCUUGGUGAAUCCACGUCGCUUUGAGGUCUCUCCUACAGCUGUAGUUUCAUCUAAAUAAAAAGCUUCUGCUGACCUGCCUCAAAAGUAUCCUGCGUGUGCUUGCACGACAAUUCCUGGUGCCCCGACUCGGAUCCAAAACACGCGUCGCGUAGGAAGGACCGCGGACCGUUCCCCACUGAACCCCGGCGCCACCCCGAAGUCUAUCCAUUCACAGGUCCAGGAAGCUUCUCCUCAGCCACCUGACGUCCCUUGCCGUGACCUCCAGCCAGGAGACUGGGUAUAUGUGAAGGUCCAUCAGCGAAAGGAUGCACUCCAACCCAGGUGGAAAGGACCGUUUCAAGUUUUACUGACCACCCAUACCGCUGUCAAGUGCCAAGGACACCAGACGUGGACUCAUGCCUCACACUGCAAAAAGGUGCUACCGCCACUAGAUUCAGAUGCUCCGGCAUUUCAACCAUCUAAGCACCCAGCAGCUACAAACCAAGACUCCCAACACACUAAAGAAAAGACAUCAGAAGAAUCACCUCGAUAUAAACUCUGGAGCCGCACCAGAAACACUCAGGGACAAUAGGCUCAUGUACCCAAACGCCAAAGUCAUAAGCCCCUGGGGUAAUCUGGGACCGAAGAGGGAGGAAAAGUUGUGGUUGCCAUCUUGGGUCUAGUUAGUUGCAUUGUUCUUCCUACUGGUAUUAACUGCAUUCGUUGUGGAGAUAUUUUGUCCUUCCUGUCUCUAAAAUGGCACUGAUAUCCUUAUACAUCGUUCUUGGGUACCUUAGUAUCACCCAAGGGGAGGUGGGAGAAAAAUUUGUUCUUGCAGAUCUCCCAAAAGGUGGGCCAGGUUGGGAAUAAAAGUGACUGCUGGAUAUGCUCCCGCUGCCCAGCGCAUCUGUACCAAGGGGUCCCUAUGAUCGGAAUAGCAAUAACCCUCCAGCAAUGGGGAAAGACAAAUGGCAGCUUUGUUAGACCCUACUCGAUUGCUGCCAACCAGUCCGCUUCCGAGGAAUGGAGGUCCGCCCCCGCUGACUGGAUAAUCUCCCCAAGAGCAGAGGUGCCUUUCUGUUACAGAACUGGAGCUUAGGAUGAAGCCACACCUGUGGGGCACUACCCUCAUUGCCAAGCUAUUUCAGACUAUAGCUUUAAUAGCACAAGUGGAAUCCUGUUGGGUAAUGUGCCCUCUCUCAAUUGUCCAGGAUUCACGGUUCACAACUUCUCUGAUGAACCUCAUGCUGUUCUCGCUGCAAACAGAUCGGCAUUUUACAUGCAUUCCAGCUUUACUUUUUGUAACAUAUCUCAGUCCAGCAAGACAUCAGCCCAACGUGGUCCGUCCUACACGUCGCAUGUCAACCAACAGUGCCUGGUAAGGAAGAACACCUGUAAAGAUUUGAGUGCCCUUUCUGCUCUGGGUCUACCGGCUCUGCGAAAACAGGGCUCAUAAAAAUCUUACCCUAGAAAUGGGUGGGGACAUGUACUCUUAGACAUGUUAUCCCUGGUUUUGAAAUGCAACGCAUCUGGAGUAAGUAAGAAAUUUCAACCAUUGCAUAAAAAGGGCAGUUAACCCCUUAGCUACCAGAAACACAGGGUUCCACCAAUUUGUGAGGACCCUCAUACCUUGGCUUGGAGUAAAUGAAUUGAAACAAGCCAUAGCUAAUAUUUCAGCCACAACGGAAGCUAUGGGGAACACUGCUGCUGAUGCUAUCCCAGCCUUACAAGAAGAGAUCUCCCAGAUCUCACAAGUAACUAUACAAAACCACAUGGCCCUAAACUACCUAUUGGUACCCCAGGGAGGAGUAUGUGCCCUGGUAAACUCCGCCUCUUGUGUUUAUGUCAACCAAAACAAGUGAAGACAGACAGACAUUUGCAAAAUUCGCAACCAGUUAAGGGUCCUACACCAGGUAGCCUCAAAAAAAUACCGAAUGGGAAAUCGAAGACAUGUGGUCCUGGCUUACCUCCUGGCUGCCCAGCCUUGGGGCUCUGGGAAAGAAAAUUCUGUAUGGAAUAAUGUUUGUUUUAAUACUGUUAGUAGUUCUCUAUGUUUUACUUCAAUUGUCUCUUUGCUGCAUACGCACUGGUACCCAAACCUUUGGCAAGAUUAGUAAACCUAAGAUAGAGAACAAAAUAGUGAUAUUACAGAGAUGUGGGUGAAUUGAGAAGGAACAAGAAGAAAGAUAUAAUGAAAUAAAAGGGUUAAUGAGCAUUGAAGUUUAAGGCUAAAAUGAGACUUGGAAGUCUCAAAGGGGGGGAAGGUGGAAUUCAGAAGUCGCUGGCCUUAAACUUUGAGCAGCCUUUGUAAGAAAGAGAACGAGUGGAAAAGUACAAUUUUUGUCUUUCAGUUGUUAGCAGAAAGCGUUUGUUCUAGCAAACCCUGUCUCCCCCGUAACCGCUUCCCGGUAACAGCAAGACAGUACGUGAUUAGUGUCUAUAGCUGCUUGCUCUAAAAAAACUCCAUUAUACAAUCAUGAGUCGUAGUGGCUGUUUAAAGGUAUAUAAGCUGCCUGAUUUUGCUUUUGGAGAGAGAUCUCUUCCCAGUGCUUGGUGAAUCCACGUCGCUUUGAGGUCUCUCCUACAGCUGUAGUUUCAUCUAAAUAAAAAGCUUCUGCUGACCUGCCUCAAAAGUAUUCUGCGUGUGUUUGCACAACACUGGAAAGAAGCCCAGAUAUGCAGUAUGCACCUAGCUACAUAGUUAGUUGCGUCUUUCCUUUUCACUGGUUUCCAGUAGUUUUGAAUGACUUUUCAGUCCUGAAAGCAUGAUCCUACAGCCUGCAACUUCCACGAAAACAGACCUGUGGGACCAGCUGUUGUAGUGUUUACCGCCAGUAAGAGAGUCAGAUUCUUUCAGUCCCUCCCAAGCUGGCAUACAGUACACUGGCGUAACUUCAGCACUGCUCUGGCCAAAAAUGGACAAGCCUCCUUGGGCAAACAGUAAAACAGGAACCUUGCAAAAGAGAUCACCUUACCCUCAAGGUUAGAAAAGUAGCUCUGAAAGAUUUAAAAAAAAAAAAAAAACACAAACAAACAAACAAAAAAACAAAGGAAAAAAAGUGGAGUUUCAGAUAUUGGUACUGGUCAAAUAGAGCAAGUGCAGAAAAGCCCUGCCUUAGAAUAGCAGAAAAACUACACAAGUCAUAUUUAUGGGUUAUAAAAGCCCUUUUAUAAAGCCAUUUUUAAACAAAACCAAAAAGUUUACAAAAGAAAAUAAAAGAUACAGAAGAAUGAGUUGCUUAAUAUAUUCCAAAAAGAGAAAAAUAAAGAGGGGACACAAUUCCAACAUGCUGAACAAUAAAGGGUUCUUUUUUCUCGUUUUUUAAUACAAAAUACAAGCGAAGGAUACACAUACUUAAAACAGCGCUCAGGAGCAGGUAUGCAGUCCUGGGAACCCUUCAAUAAAAGCAAAGCAGGGUUUUGUUAAUUUUUUUUCUUCUUCUUUGCAGGUACAUACAGAGACUGGAAUAUGUAAAAUUAAGUAGCACAAAAGACCAUCACACAAUUCUACCAAUGCAUGUUGCAUCUAUAAUUCACGAACAUGGUCAACAAAGUCAUGUUCACUUCAACCCCCUUUUUAAAAAAAAAAAAAAAAAAAAAAAAAAAAAAAAAUU